This 464-nucleotide ribosomal RNA is filed under the name Centipeda infelix. RNAcentral describes it as "bacterial SSU rRNA". It matches the Rfam family "Bacterial small subunit ribosomal RNA", at positions 28 to 469 of the family's 1533-position model. Lineage: Bacteria; Bacillati; Bacillota; Negativicutes; Selenomonadales; Selenomonadaceae. The record is from RNAcentral.
GACGAACGCUGGCGGCGUGCUUAACACAUGCAAGUCGAACGGAGCGAAUGAAAGCUUGCUUUUAUGAGCUUAGUGGCAAACGGGUGAGUAACACGUAGACAACCUGCCGACAGGAUGGGGACAACAUUCCGAAAGGAAUGCUAAUACCGAAUGAAGCGGAGGAGAGGCAUCUCUCCUCCGUGAAAGAUGGCCUCUAUUUAUAAGCUAUCACCUGUUGAUGGGUCUGCGUCUGAUUAGCUAGUUGGUGAGGUAACGGCUCACCAAGGCGACGAUCAGUAGCCGGUCUGAGAGGAUGAACGGCCACAUUGGGACUGAGACACGGCCCAGACUCCUACGGAGGCAGCAGUGGGGAAUCUUCCGCAAUGGGCGCAAGCCUGACGGAGCAACGCCGCGUGAGUGAAGAAGGUCUUCGGAUCGUAAAGCUCUGUUGACGGGGACGAACGUGCGGAGUGCGAAUAGCGCUU